GGUGGAGUAGCCUAGUGGCCAAGGCACCUGGCUUACAACCAGACAAUCGUAGGUUCGAGUCCUACCUCCACUA
Molecule: transfer RNA, 73 nt
Filed under: marine bacterium AO1-C
Lineage: Bacteria; Pseudomonadati; Bacteroidota; Cytophagia; Cytophagales; Cytophagaceae
Rfam family: tRNA
About the family: Transfer RNA (tRNA) molecules are approximately 80 nucleotides in length. Their secondary structure includes four short double-helical elements and three loops (D, anti-codon, and T loops).
Source: Rfam by way of RNAcentral